Tupaia belangeri chinensis (Chinese tree shrew) is the source of this 261-nucleotide long non-coding RNA. RefSeq lists it as uncharacterized. The transcript is spliced from 3 exons. The record is from RefSeq and is a predicted model, not a curated record. NCBI's taxonomy places the organism in Eukaryota, Metazoa, Chordata, Mammalia, Scandentia, Tupaiidae.
ACAGCUUCUACAGCUGAGCAGGCUGCAGCUGUGCUUGCUGACCAACAUGCUGUAACUAAGUCUACUAUGACUACGUCUGUUGGACCCAAACCUGAUACAGUUGAGCCUGCUGCCCAAGAAUCUCAGACUUCUCCUUCUCUUGACCAGCAAUGAGAUUUUCCAGAGAAGAAAGUACCAGGCAUUUAUUUCUAUAAUGGUGCAGGAAUCAGUGAAAUCUACAAAAAUUUCCUUUUUUUUUCCUAAAGACUAUUUCAUUCUGCU